UCUCCGUUGGUGAACCAGCGGAGGGAUCAUUACAGGACUCGCAAGACUCCUACAACCCUGUGAACUUAACUAUAAGCACGUUGCUUCGGCGGGUGUCUCGGGGGGGGUUCUCCCUCCCCGAGACGCUAAACCCGCCGGCAGCCUACUAUACUCUGUCUCUUUGCGUUGGCAUCUCGAGUACAAUCAAACAGUUAAAACUUUCAACAACGGAUCUCUUGGUUCUG
This 224-nucleotide unclassified non-coding RNA is filed under the name plant metagenome. RNAcentral describes it as "partial contains small subunit ribosomal RNA, internal transcribed spacer 1, and 5.8S ribosomal RNA". The record is from RNAcentral.